UCAAACCACCGCAAUCACCGUUCAUUUUUCUUAUUUCUGUCCAAUUCUUAUAUGUUUCAAAACGAAUACACCGAAUAUUCGAAUUGAUAUCCUUCAAAUUUUACCGCAUAUCCUUAUAAGCCUUUGUGACUUCAACCUUCCUUAAUAGCAAUCGGAGUCUGAUCCCUACGUUUCACCGGAGAUUUACCGACGCACCACCGCAGCCAGUCGAGGCUAUAACCACAAUGUCGCACCACCACUUUCAUAGUCGCCAUCAUACCACGCAACAUCGGAGUUCCUGAGCAGUUACCUUUCACGAACUAGGUAGCCAUCGGAUUCAGGUGACGUGCUUCUUUCGUUACCAUCGACCCCACCAUCACUUCCGUCACUCGUGUUCUCUGAUUCACGAACAGCCGCGGCGACCCCCUUCUGGUUCGAUUAACUGCCGCCCUAACGAAAUUUCUGAUUAAUAGCCAUGAGUUCGACCUCCGCAUCCAUCAUUCAGGUUGCCUUAUAACAACUUCAAGUCAGACAUUAUAAUGUUUUGUCAAGUUCGACUUACGCUUUAAGGUAAUAUGGGAUGAUCUGGGAUUUCAGUGAGGAGCGUUAGGAAGUCGCUGGUCAAGAUUCUUUAUUUCAGUAAUGUAAUAAAUGUAAUUAAGGGUUUUCUAUUUAAUGCUAUGGAUUAGCUUUUAGUUUUGAUAUCUGUAAGAGUGACACGUCAGCCCUAGCGGGGUUGGGGUGUUACAGUAAGCCUAUAAACUGGUUGUCUUGGCUCGUUUUUUAUGUGGAAAUGCUAUCUUAAGGGAUUAGUCCCACUCACAUUAUUCUUCUUGAA
Helianthus annuus (common sunflower) is the source of this 817-nucleotide long non-coding RNA. RefSeq lists it as uncharacterized. NCBI's taxonomy places the organism in Eukaryota, Viridiplantae, Streptophyta, Magnoliopsida, Asterales, Asteraceae. The record is from RefSeq and is a predicted model, not a curated record. The transcript has 4 exons.